This 417-nucleotide ribosomal RNA is filed under the name uncultured bacterium. RNAcentral's name for it is "bacterial SSU rRNA". It matches the Rfam family "Bacterial small subunit ribosomal RNA", at positions 361 to 776 of the family's 1533-position model. The record is from RNAcentral.
AUAUUGCGCAAUGGAGGAAACUCUGACGCAGCAACGCCGCGUGUAGGAAGAAGGCCCUUUGGGUCGUAAACUACUGUAGCAGGGGAAUAACGAUCCAUCGUGGAUGGAUGUGAAGGUACCCUGAAAGUAAGCGCCGGCUAACUACGUGCCAGCAGCCGCGGUAAUACGUAGGGCGCAAGCGUUGUCCGGAUUCACUGGGUGUAAAGGGUGCGUAGGCGGGAGAAUAAGUCAGUGGUGAAAUCUCACGGCUCAACCGUGAAACUGCCGUUGAUACUGUUUUUCUUGAGUUCGGGAGAGGUUGAUGGAAUUCCAGGUGUAGCGGUGAAAUGCGUAGAUAUCUGGAAGAACACCAGUGGCGAAGGCGGUCAACUGGCCCGAGACUGACGCUGAGGCACGAAAGCGUGGGGAGCGAACAGG